This 213-nucleotide long non-coding RNA is filed under the name Elaeis guineensis (African oil palm). RNAcentral describes it as "long non-coding RNA (EGUI_LNC052081)". Lineage: Eukaryota; Viridiplantae; Streptophyta; Magnoliopsida; Arecales; Arecaceae. The record is from RNAcentral.
CAUAGAGGGACCACAGAAUUGAUGGCUCAAUUAAUGAGGGGAUGCCAUUGUGCUGAUCUGAUGAACAAGAUUGUGGAAUUAUUCCUUUGAAUCAUCAGAAGAGUUCCAGACAAAAGAUCACACAAUUUUAUUCUUCAGCCUUGGGCCAAUCCUACCCCAUUUGUUUGUAUUUAGCAAAGCUCAAUAAUUUCAAAACAAAGCAUGGUUCAAGGA